AUUGAACGCUGGCGGUAUGCUUAACACAUGCAAGUCGAACGGUAACAGAACUAGCUUGCUAGUUGCUGACGAGUGGCGGACGGGUGAGUAACGCGUAGGAAUCUACCUUGUAGUGGGGGAUAACUCGAGGAAACUCGAGCUAAUACCGCAUAAUCUCUACGGAGCAAAGCGGGGGAUCUUCGGACCUCGCGCUAUAAGAUGAGCCUGCGUCGGAUUAGCUUGUUGGUGGGGUAAAGGCCUACCAAGGCGACGAUCCGUAGCUGGUCUGAGAGGACGAUCAGCCACACUGGGACUGAGACACGGCCCAGACUCCUACGGGAGGCAGCAGUGGGGAAUAUUGGACAAUGGGCGCAAGCCUGAUCCAGCAAUGCCGCGUGUGUGAAGAAGGCCUUCGGGUUGUAAAGCACUUUCAGUAAGGAAGAAAAGCUUAUGGUUAAUAGCCCUAAGUCUUGACGUUACCUACAGAAGAAGCACUGGGCUAACUCCGUGCCAGCAGCCGCGGUAAUACGGAGGGAGCGAGCGUUAAUCGGAAUUACUGGGCGUAAAGGGCGCGUAGGUGGCUUGGUAAGUUGGAUGUGAAAGCCCUGGGCUUAACCUGGGAAUUGCAUUUGAUACUGCAGAGCUAGAGUAUGGUAGAGGGAAGUGGAAUUUCCGGUGUAGCGGUGACAUGCGUAGAUAUCGGAAGGAACACCAGUGGCGAAGGCGACUUCCUGGGCCAAUACUGACGCUGAGGUGCGAAAAGCGUGGGGAGCAAACAGGAUUAAAGACCCUGGUAGGAGCGUUUGGGUUAAGUCCCGUAACGAGCGCAACCCUUGUCCUUAGUUGCCAGCACGUAAUGGUGGGAACUCUAAGGAGACUGCCGGUGACAAACCGGAGGAAGGUGGGGACGACGUCAAGUCAUCAUGGCCCUUACGACCUGGGCUACACACGUGCUACAAUGGUCGGUACAGAGGGUUGCCAAGCCGCGAGGUGGAGCUAAUCCCAGAAAACCGAUCGUAGUCCGGAUUGGAGUCUGCAACUCGACUCCAUGAAGUCGGAAUCGCUAGUAAUCGCGAAUCAGAAUGUCGCGGUGAAUACGUUCCCGGGCCUUGUACACACCGCCCGUCACACCAUGGGAGUGGGUUGCAAAAGAAGUGGGUAGACUAACCUUCGGGAGGUCGCUCACCACUUUGUGAUUCAUGACUGGGGUGAAGUCGUAACAAGGUAGCCGUAGGGGAACCUGCGGCU
RNAcentral lists this ribosomal RNA (1227 nucleotides) under uncultured prokaryote. Its description in RNAcentral is "partial 16S ribosomal RNA". It matches the Rfam family "Bacterial small subunit ribosomal RNA". The record is from RNAcentral.